This 305-nucleotide ribosomal RNA is filed under the name uncultured bacterium. Its description in RNAcentral is "bacterial SSU rRNA". It matches the Rfam family "Bacterial small subunit ribosomal RNA", at positions 338 to 660 of the family's 1533-position model. The record is from RNAcentral.
CCUACGGGGGGCAGCAGUGGGGAAUAUUGGACAAUGGGGGGAACCCUGAUCCAGCGACGCCGCGUGAGUGAAGAAGUAUUUCGGUAUGUAAAGCUCUAUCAGCAGGGAAGAAAAUGACGGUACCUGACUAAGAAGCCCCGGCUAACUACGUGCCAGCAGCCGCGGUAAUACGUAGGGGGCAAGCGUUAUCCGGAUUUACUGGGUGUAAAGGGAGCGUAGACGGUGCAGCAAGUCUGAUGUGAAAGGUCGGGGCCCAACCCCGGGACUGCAUUGGAAACUGUUGAACUGGAGUACAGGAGAGGUAA